RNAcentral lists this ribosomal RNA (253 nucleotides) under uncultured bacterium. RNAcentral describes it as "partial 16S ribosomal RNA". It matches the Rfam family "Bacterial small subunit ribosomal RNA", at positions 524 to 776 of the family's 1533-position model. The record is from RNAcentral.
UACGUAGGGGGCAAGCGUUGUCCGGAAUCAUUGGGCGUAAAGAGCGUGUAGGCGGCCCGAUAAGUCCGCUGUGAAAGUCCAGGGCUCAACCCUGGAAUGCCGGUGGAUACUGUCGGGCUUGAGUCCGGAAGGGGCGAGUGGAAUUCCUGGUGUAGCGGUGAAAUGCGCAGAUAUCAGGAGGAACACCGGUGGCGAAGGCGGUUCUCUGGGCAUUACCUGACGCUGAGGAGCGAAAGCGUGGGGAGCAAACAGG